UACGAAGGGUGCUAGCGUUGUUCGGAAUUACUGGGCGUAAAGAGCAUGUAGGCGGAUGGAUUAGUCAGAGGUGAAAGCCCCGAGCUCAACUCGGGAACUGCCUUUGAUACUGUUCAUCUUGAGUCCGAGAGAGGUUAGUGGAAUUCCAAGUGUAGAGGUGAAAUUCGUAGAUAUUUGGAAGAACACCAGUGGCGAAGGCGGCUAACUGGCUCGGUACUGACGCUGAGAUGCGAAAGCGUGGGGAGCAAACAGG
RNAcentral lists this ribosomal RNA (253 nucleotides) under uncultured bacterium. RNAcentral describes it as "partial 16S ribosomal RNA". It matches the Rfam family "Bacterial small subunit ribosomal RNA", at positions 524 to 776 of the family's 1533-position model. The record is from RNAcentral.